This 254-nucleotide ribosomal RNA is filed under the name uncultured bacterium. Its description in RNAcentral is "partial 16S ribosomal RNA". It matches the Rfam family "Bacterial small subunit ribosomal RNA", at positions 524 to 776 of the family's 1533-position model. The record is from RNAcentral.
UACGGGGGGGGGUAAGCGUUGUUCGGAAUUACUGGGCGUAAAGGGCUCGUAGGCGGCCAACUAAGUCGGACGUGAAAUCCCUCAGCUUAACUGGGGAACUGCGUCCGAUACUGGAUGGCUUGGAUUUGGGAGAGGGAUGCGGAAUUCCAGGUGUAGCGGUGAAAUGCGUAGAUAUCUGGAGGAACACCGGUGGCGAAGGCGGCAUCCUGGACCAAUAUUGACGCUGAGGAGCGAAAGCUAGGGGAGCAAACGGG